GUGCUCUCAUUUCCAAGGUAUAAAUACUAACACUGGAAUAACCCAGAGAAGAUUGGCUUGACCCCUAUGCAGGAUAACAUGCAAAUAUUUGUGGAGCAGUCCAUAUUUUU
This is a small nuclear RNA of Echinops telfairi (small Madagascar hedgehog), 110 nucleotides long. The record is from RefSeq and is a predicted model, not a curated record. NCBI's taxonomy places the organism in Eukaryota, Metazoa, Chordata, Mammalia, Afrosoricida, Tenrecidae.